Molecule: ribosomal RNA, 733 nt
Filed under: uncultured Planctomycetales bacterium
Lineage: Bacteria; Pseudomonadati; Planctomycetota; Planctomycetia; Planctomycetales
Description: bacterial SSU rRNA
Rfam family: Bacterial small subunit ribosomal RNA
Source: RNAcentral
AGAACGAACGCUGGCGGCGUGGAUAAGACAUGCAAGUCGAACGAGUGGCGCAAGGGUGCGUAACACGUGGGAAUUUGCCGCAAGACUGGGAUAACUCGCUGAAAGGCGAGCUAAUACCGGAUGCGAUAAGCCCGCGGCCUAUCAGCUAGUUGGUGAGGUAACGGCUCACCAAGGCUAAGACGGGUAGCUGGUCUGAGAGGACGACCAGCCUCACUGGAACUGAGACACGGUCCAGACACCUACGGGUGGCAGCAGUCGAGAAUUUUUCUCAAUGGGGGAAACCCUGAAGGAGCGACGCCGCGUGGGGGAUGAAGGUCUUCGGAUUGUAAACCCCUGUCAUCUGCGAUGAUAGUAGCGGAAGAGGAAGGGACGGCUAACUCUGUGCCAGCAGCCGCGGUAAUACAGAGGUCCCAAGCGUUGUUCGGAUUCACUGGGCGUAAAGGGUGCGUAGGCGGUGAGGCAAGUCUGAUGUGAAAGCUUCGAGCUUAACUCGAAAACGGCAUUGGAAACUGCUUUGCUAGAGGUUUGGAGGGGGGACUGGAAUACUUGGUGUAGCAGUGAAAUGCGUAGAGAUCAAGUGGAACACCAGUGGCGAAAGCGAGUCCCUGGACAAAACCUGACGCUGAGGCACGAAAGCUAGGGGAGCAAACAGGAUUAGAUACCCUGGUAGUCCUAGCUGUAAACGGUGCACGUUUGCUGUAAGUGGCGAAGCUAACGCGAUAAACGUGCCGCC